Molecule: ribosomal RNA, 314 nt
Filed under: uncultured bacterium
Lineage: Bacteria
Description: bacterial SSU rRNA
Rfam family: Bacterial small subunit ribosomal RNA
Source: RNAcentral
UGAUCAAAGAUUUAUCGGUACACCGAUGGGGAUGCGUACGAUUAGUUAGUCGGCGGGGUAACGGCCCGACCGAGACGACGAUCCGUUAGGGGUUCUGAGAGGAAGGUCCCCACAUAGGAACUGAGACACGGUCCUAACUCCUACGGGAGGCAGCAGUGAGGAAUAUUGGUCAAUGGGCGAGAGCCUGAACCAGCCAAGUAGCGUGAAGGAUGACUGCCCUACGGGUUUGUAAACUUCUUUUAUGCGGGAAUAACCUCCACUACGCGUAGUGGUCUGCAUGUACCGCAUGAAUAAGCAUCGGCUAAUUCCGUGCC